This is a non-coding RNA of Acanthosepion pharaonis, 112 nucleotides long. NCBI's taxonomy places the organism in Eukaryota, Metazoa, Mollusca, Cephalopoda, Sepiida, Sepiidae. The record is from the annotation of a GenBank genome assembly.
UAGGGCCAUAUCGCGUUGAAAAUCCGGUUCCAGUACGAACACCGAAGUUAAGCGACGUCGAGCAUGACCAGUACCUAAAUGGGUGACCGCUUAGGGAUACCAGGUGCUGUAA